GCGCAGAGGCGGGAAAACAUGGACUGACUGCGAGAGAAAAGCCAGAGUUCCAGUUUGGCUGCACCAAAGGCUACUUUAAGCAUGAAAGAAUAAGCUCGUGGGAACCGCCUCCACCGCCCGGGACUCACCACCCUGAGUCUGAACCGCCCAACGCGGCCUCAACGUCGCGGAGCCGUCGCCAUCUUUCCCGUUUCCUGGUCGCGGAGAUGAACACCCCCCACCCCCCCGGCCGCGAGGCAAGCUGGGAAGGCGAGUUCCUGGAGCUGGGCGGCACAGGCCGACACUGAGGCCUGGAAACUACCAAUCCCAGAAUGCAUGACUUGAGCGCCGGCCCCAGGCUGCGGGGUCUGCCGGGCAAUGUGGUUUGCCAGACGUUAGCGUCCGGGAAGGAAGAGUUUUUCGCCAAUAGGCUUUCGGCAUUAGGUUCUCCCGCCGAGCACCCUUCUUGGAAUCGGCUGGUCUUCCUAGAAACUACGGUCUAUGACUGUCCUUGCCCGUGGCUUACAGUGGAGGAAUUUAAGGGCUUCCUGAGAUAUCUGUAGUACGUAAUUAUAGCUAACAACCGCAGUAACAAUAAAUACCAUUCGUGGAAAA
Long non-coding RNA from Homo sapiens (human), 594 nucleotides. RefSeq lists it as uncharacterized. The transcript is spliced from 2 exons. The record is from RefSeq and is a predicted model, not a curated record. NCBI's taxonomy places the organism in Eukaryota, Metazoa, Chordata, Mammalia, Primates, Hominidae.